This 825-nucleotide ribosomal RNA is filed under the name Phomopsis sp. nwa_besc_86e. RNAcentral's name for it is "eukaryotic LSU rRNA". The stretch from base 501 to 825 matches the Rfam family "Eukaryotic large subunit ribosomal RNA", at positions 1 to 331 of the family's 3401-position model. The record is from RNAcentral. Lineage: Eukaryota; Fungi; Ascomycota; Sordariomycetes; Diaporthales; Diaporthaceae.
CGGAGGGAUCAUUGCUGGAACGCGCUUCGGCGCACCCAGAAACCCUUUGUGAACUUAUACCUUACUGUUGCCUCGGCGCAGGCCGGCCUCACUGAGGCCCCUCGGAAACGAGGAGCAGCCCGCCGGCGGCCAACCAAACUCUUGUUUCUUAGUGAAUCUCUGAGUAAAAAACAUAAAUGAAUCAAAACUUUCAACAACGGAUCUCUUGGUUCUGGCAUCGAUGAAGAACGCAGCGAAAUGCGAUAAGUAAUGUGAAUUGCAGAAUUCAGUGAAUCAUCGAAUCUUUGAACGCACAUUGCGCCCUCUGGUAUUCCGGAGGGCAUGCCUGUUCGAGCGUCAUUUCAACCCUCAAGCAUUGCUUGGUGUUGGGGCACCGCCUGUAAAAGGGCGGGCCCUGAAAUCUAGUGGCGAGCUCGCCAGGACCCCGAGCGUAGUAAUUAUAUUUCGUUCUGGAAGGCCCUGGCGGUGCCCUGCCGUUAAACCCCCAACUUCUGAAAAUUUGACCUCGGAUCAGGUAGGAAUACCCGCUGAACUUAAGCAUAUCAAUAAGCGGAGGAAAAGAAACCAACAGGGAUUGCCCUAGUAACGGCGAGUGAAGCGGCAACAGCUCAAAUUUGAAAUCUGGCUUCGGCCCGAGUUGUAAUUUGCAGAGGAUGUUUCUGGCGCGGUGCCUUCCGAGUUCCCUGGAACGGGACGCCACAGAGGGUGAGAGCCCCGUAUGGUUGGACACCAAGCCUGUGUGAAACUCCUUCAACGAGUCGAGUAGUUUGGGAAUGCUGCUCUAAAUGGGAGGUAAAUCUCUUCUAAAGCUAAAUACCGGCCAGA